Molecule: ribosomal RNA, 492 nt
Filed under: uncultured bacterium
Lineage: Bacteria
Description: partial 16S ribosomal RNA
Rfam family: Bacterial small subunit ribosomal RNA
Source: RNAcentral
AGUGAACGCUGGCGGUAGGCCUAACACAUGCAAGUCGAACGGCAGCACAGUAAGAGCUUGCUCUUACGGGUGGCGAGUGGCGGACGGGUGAGGAAUACAUCGGAAUCUACUUUUUCGUGGGGGAUAACGUAGGGAAACUUACGCUAAUACCGCAUACGACCUACGGGGGAAAGCAGGGGAUCUUCGGACCUUGCGCGAUUGAAUGAGCCGAUGUCGGAUUAGCUAGUUGGCGGGGUAAAGGCCCACCAAGGCGACGAUCCGUAGCUGGUCUGAGAGGAUGAUCCGCCACCCUGGAACUGAGACACGGUCCAGACUCCUACGGGAGGCCGCAGUGGGGAAUAUUGGACAAUGGGCGCAAGCCUGAUCCAGCCAUACCGCGUGGGUGAAGAAGGCCUUCGGGUUGUAAAGCCCUUUUGUUGGGAAAGAAAAGCAGCAGGUUAAUACCCCGCUGUUCUGACGGUACCCAAAGAAUAAGCACCGGCUAACUUCGUG